RNAcentral lists this ribosomal RNA (253 nucleotides) under uncultured bacterium. RNAcentral describes it as "partial 16S ribosomal RNA". It matches the Rfam family "Bacterial small subunit ribosomal RNA", at positions 524 to 776 of the family's 1533-position model. The record is from RNAcentral.
UACGAGGGGGGCGAGCGUUGUUCGGAAUUAUUGGGCGUAAAGGGUGCGUAGGCGGUUUGGUAAGUCUUAUGUGAAAUCUAUAGGCUCAACUUGUAGUCUGCAUGAGAAACUGCCGGGCUUGAGUAUGGGAGAGGUGAGUGGAAUUCCUGGUGUAGCGGUGAAAUGCGUAGAUAUCAGGAGGAACACCUGUGGCGAAAGCGGCUCACUGGACCAUAACUGACGCUGAUGCACGAAAGCUAGGGGAGCAAACAGG